This 286-nucleotide ribosomal RNA is filed under the name uncultured bacterium. RNAcentral's name for it is "partial 16S ribosomal RNA". It matches the Rfam family "Bacterial small subunit ribosomal RNA", at positions 334 to 612 of the family's 1533-position model. The record is from RNAcentral.
GUGUCCUACGGGAGGCAGCAGUAGGGAAUCUUCCACAAUGGGCGAAAGCCUGAUGGAGCAACGCCGCGUGGGUGAAGAAGGUCUUCGGAUCGUAAAACCCUGUUGUUAGAGAAGAAAGUGCGUGAGAGUAACUGUUCACGUUUCGACGGUAUCUAACCAGAAAGCCACGGCUAACUACGUGCCAGUAGCCGCGGUAAUACGUAGGUGGCAAGCGUUAUCCGGAUUUAUUGGGCGUAAAGGGAACGCAGGCGGUCUUUUAAUUCUGAUUGGAAAGCCUUCGGCUUAA